This 545-nucleotide ribosomal RNA is filed under the name bacterium MS-M-2. Its description in RNAcentral is "bacterial SSU rRNA". It matches the Rfam family "Bacterial small subunit ribosomal RNA", at positions 116 to 659 of the family's 1533-position model. The record is from RNAcentral.
CGUACACGACCUACCUUACACUGAGGGAUAGCCCUGGGAAACUGGGAUUAAUACCUCAUGGUAUUAGAUUAUUGCGAUGAUCUAAUUAAAGGUUUCGGCUGGUGUAAGAUGGGUGUGCGUUAGAUUAGCUAGUUGGUAAGGUAACGGCUUACCAAGGCGACGAUCUAUAGGGGGCGUGAGAGCGUGGACCCCCACACGGGUACUGAGACACGGACCCGACUCCUACGGGAGGCAGCAGUAAGGAAUAUUGGACAAUGGGGGCAACCCUGAUCCAGCCAUCCCGCGUGCAGGAAGACGGCCCUAUGGGUUGUAAACUGCUUUUAGAAGGGAAGAAAAUUAUUCAUUUAUGAGUAACUGACGGUACCUUCAGAAUAAGCACCGGCUAACUCCGUGCCAGCAGCCGCGGUAAUACGGAGGGUGCAAGCGUUAUCCGGAAUCACUGGGUUUAAAGGGUGCGUAGGCGGAUAUAUAAGUCAGAGGUGAAAGCUCUGAGCUCAACUGAGGAAUUGCCUUUGAUACUGUAUAUCUUGAAUUGUGUUGAGGUU